GCACGUGAGCAUGCCUGCGAAUCAAUUUCUAGAAAACUGGAUUGUG
RNAcentral lists this non-coding RNA (46 nucleotides) under Tetraselmis striata. Lineage: Eukaryota; Viridiplantae; Chlorophyta; Chlorodendrophyceae; Chlorodendrales; Chlorodendraceae. The record is from RNAcentral.